CAAAAUUCUUGCAAACCAAGAAAUAAUUAAAGAACAGAUGGGAACAUUGAUUAAAUAGGUCUAUGACCUCAAAAAAUUAUCAACUACAGAAGACAGCCCAACAUUAAACAUAGACUGUUUUCCACUGUCAAGUUUUCAACAACUUCAAGUCAUGGAGGGGCAGCUGCAGCAGAAAGACUACAAAACAGCUGUGAUAAACACGUUAGCCUUGAGGGGAGGCACAACAGUAAAGGAAAGUGUAUGGCGGAUUCUGAGCUUCCUUCUAUCAAACGACAUGGCCCGGCAAAUGAACUGGAGGGGAAUCAAUGGAAAAGCGGCAUUCAAAGACACCUCUCUGAAAACUGUAAUUAAUGCUGCAGUCAGAAGAAACCGUUUGACUUCCACUGCAACAGACCAAGAAGUAGAAAACUGGAUCAAGAGAUGGCUGCAGCUUUCCACUGA
Molecule: long non-coding RNA, 441 nt
Organism: Carassius gibelio (silver crucian carp)
Lineage: Eukaryota; Metazoa; Chordata; Actinopteri; Cypriniformes; Cyprinidae
Exons: 3
Source: RefSeq, a predicted model, not a curated record